RNAcentral lists this ribosomal RNA (253 nucleotides) under uncultured bacterium. RNAcentral's name for it is "partial 16S ribosomal RNA". It matches the Rfam family "Bacterial small subunit ribosomal RNA", at positions 524 to 776 of the family's 1533-position model. The record is from RNAcentral.
UACGAAGGGUGCAAACGUUGCUCGGAAUUAUUGGGCGUAAAGCGCACGUAGGCGGCAUUGCAAGUCGGAUGUGAAAUCUUAUGGCUUAACCAUAAAAGUGCAUCCGAAACUGCAGUGCUUGAGUACUUAAGAGGAUCGCGGAAUUCCCGGUGUAGAGGUGAAAUUCGUAGAUAUCGGGAGGAACACCAGUGGCGAAGGCGGCUCGCUGGGCCGGACCUGACGCUGAGACGCGAAGGCGUGGGGAGCGAACGGG